Non-coding RNA from Cinara cedri, 230 nucleotides. Lineage: Eukaryota; Metazoa; Arthropoda; Insecta; Hemiptera; Aphididae. The record is from the annotation of a GenBank genome assembly.
AAAAUUAGAAUUAGAAUUUAUGCAAAAUUUAACCAUAAAAAUGGAGUGAGCAUACUUAAUGAAUCACCAUGUAUAUAACAGAUACAAUGAAGUGCAAAUUUCUCUGUUUCUGAAGAUAAUUUGACAAAAAGGGAUGUGGCUGUGUUAUCCUGUUACCAACUCCUCCCCUCAUAUUCAUCACAGGGAGAAAGUGUGUUGUUUCGGUUCAACGAGAACCGAUAAUUUCUUUU